Molecule: ribosomal RNA, 1435 nt
Filed under: uncultured bacterium
Lineage: Bacteria
Description: bacterial SSU rRNA
Rfam family: Bacterial small subunit ribosomal RNA
Source: RNAcentral
UGAAGCAAUGCGGCGUGCUUACACAUGCAGUCGAACGAUGAAGCCCAGCUUGCUGGGUGGAUUAGUGGCGAACGGGUGAGUAACACGUGAGUAACCUGCCCUUGACUCUGGGAUAAGCGCUGGAAACGGCGUCUAAUACCGGAUACGACCUGCCCCGGCAUCGGGUGCGGGUGGAAAGUUUUUCGGUCAAGGAUGGACUCGCGGCCUAUCAGGUAGUUGGUGAGGUAAUGGCUCACCAAGCCGACGACGGGUAGCCGGCCUGAGAGGGUGACCGGCCACACUGGGACUGAGACACGGCCCAGACUCCUACGGGAGGCAGCAGUGGGGAAUAUUGCACAAUGGGCGAAAGCCUGAUGCAGCAACGCCGCGUGGGGGAUGACGGCCUUCGGGUUGUAAACCUCUUUUAGUAGGGAAGAAGGGCUUCGGCUUGACGGUACCUGCAGAAAAAGCACCGGCUAACUACGUGCCAGCAGCCGCGGUAAUACGUAGGGUGCAAGCGUUGUCCCGGAAUUAUUGGGCGUAAAGAGCUCGUAGGCGGUUUGUCGCGUCUGCUGUGAAAACCCGAGGCUCAACCUCGGGCCUGCAGUGGGUACGGGCAGACUAGAGUGCGGUAGGGGAGAAUGGAAUUCCUGGUGUAGCGGUGGAAUGCGCAGAUAUCAGGAGGAACACCGAUGGCGAAGGCAGUUCUCUGGGCCGUUACUGACGCUGAGGAGCGAAAGCGUGGGGAGCGAACAGGAUUAGAUACCCUGGUAGUCCACGCCGUAAACGUUGGGAACUAGAUGUGGGGACCUUUCCACGGUCUCCGUGUCGCAGCUAACGCAUUAAGUUCCCCGCCUGGGGAGUACGGCCGCAAGGCUAAAACUCAAAGGAAUUGACGGGGGCCCGCACAAGCGGCGGAGCAUGCGGAUUAAUUCGAUGCAACGCGAAGAACCUUACCAAGGCUUGACAUAUACCGGAAACUUCCAGAAAUGGUUGCCCCGCAAGGUCGGUAUACAGGUGGUGCAUGGUUGUCGUCAGCUCGUGUCGUGAGAUGUUGGGUUAAGUCCCGCAACGAGCGCAACCCUCGUUCUAUGUUGCCAGCACGUCAUGGUGGGAACUCAUAGGAGACUGCCGGGGUCAACUCGGAGGAAGGUGGGGAUGACGUCAAAUCAUCAUGCCCCUUAUGUCUUGGGCUUCACGCAUGCUACAAUGGCCGGUACAAAGGGCUGCGAUACCGUAAGGUGGAGCGAAUCCCAAAAAGCCGGUCUCAGUUCGGAUUGAGGUCUGCAACUCGACCUCAUGAAGUCGGAGUCGCUAGUAAUCGCAGAUCAGCAACGCUGCGGUGAAUACGUUCCCGGGCCUUGUACACACCGCCCGUCAAGUCAUGAAAGUCGGUAACACCCGAAGCCAGUGGCCUAACCGCAAGGAGGGAGCUGUCGAAGGUGAUCGAUGCCCU